Molecule: ribosomal RNA, 253 nt
Filed under: uncultured bacterium
Lineage: Bacteria
Description: partial 16S ribosomal RNA
Rfam family: Bacterial small subunit ribosomal RNA
Source: RNAcentral
UACGAAGGGGGCUAGCGUUGCUCGGAUUGACUGGGCGUAAAGGGCGCGUAGGCGGUUCGUACAGUCAGACGUGAAAUUCCUGGGCUCAACCUGGGGGCUGCGUUUGAUACGUGCGGACUUGAGUGCGGAAGAGGGUCGUGGAAUUCCCAGUGUAGCGGUGAAAUUCGUAGAUAUUGGGAAGAACACCGGUGGCGAAGGCGGCGACCUGGUCCGAUACUGACGCUGAGGCGCGAAAGCGUGGGGAGCAAACAGG